UGCUUCUUCUUCUUCGGUCUCUUUUCCGUGUAUAAAAUUACGUCGUGUUACGUACAUAUACAUACUUAUUUGUUAUUGUUGCUGCUUUUAUAUAGGUACUGCGGGCGCAAGUACACAGCUGCUGACGCUGCGAUGACGUCGCCGGCGUCGUGUUGGUGUUGUCAUUUCGGCUGUUCAUAUUGGAAAUCGUUCGCUUACUCAUUUGCUCGCACACUCAUUCGCAUAGUUUACUCGUGCGCUCACUCUCUCGUACCUACGUAUUUGUUGCUGUUGUGCUUUAUAUUCGGUAUGAAUGGGAAACUUGUGUAUUCUGUUUGUUUUUGUUGUGAUUACCUUCAAGCCAUGUGCGCGCGAACAUGUGGUGCUGUCAUUUUGGCGUCGGCUGUUGUUGUUGUUUCUAUUGUUAUGUGGAAUGCCAAUGGGAAAAUCGGAGUGGUUUGUAGGAGGAAGCAUCGAAAGCCGGAGUGCGGGACUUUAAUCCGCUAAACCUAACCUACUCCCACCUCAUGUCUCUCCCACGGGACCACUAGACAAAGCAUUACUUCAUGCGUACAAAUAUGUACAUACAUACAUACAUAUAUGUAUGUAUAUGCACUUUAGCUGUAAUUAUAAAUAAAAUAACGUAUAAAUACCAUUUACCGUAUGUCCGCCUAUUUCCGGAAAAUUGUGAGACGAGAACGGUUAAGCAUCCUGAAAGCCAAAUGGUCUGGGCGUGCUUUUCUUUUUAUAUCCGAGGUCCUUUGCUUUUUAUUGAUGGGAUGAUGAAUGCUCAGAAGUAUGGAGAAGUUGUAUCCCAUUUUAUUGCGCCCGUCGUAGAAGAACAAUAUGGGCAUACUUCUGAGGCCAUCUUUCAGGACGACUCCACACCGUGUCAUCGGGCUAAAUCGGUUCAGGAAAUGUUUGCAGACCUUGGGGUAUCGCAUAUGACAUGGCCGGGAAAUUCUCCCGAUUUGAAUCCGUUCGAGAAUAUUUGGCAUGCCAUAAAAAUGAAAGUAGCUCAAGACCGGCUAAAUUCAAAGACCGAACUGAAAAAAAUACUUAAUAAGGUGUGGGAGCAGGGAAUUUCAAUUGAAUACCUUGAAAACCUCGUUGUUUUAAUGCCAGCCCGGGUCGAAGCAGUUAUAGCCGCCAAAGGUGGUUCAACUGCAUAUUAAACCUUUUAAUUAAAUUAUCAUAUCAAAAAAGCGGCCACAAGUGCAUGUGUGUGCAGGGUUCUAGCACACGAAUUCUCCAAACGGUUUUUAAAAUAAAUAUUUUUCUUACUGGGUA
Molecule: long non-coding RNA, 1269 nt
Organism: Bactrocera neohumeralis
Lineage: Eukaryota; Metazoa; Arthropoda; Insecta; Diptera; Tephritidae
Exons: 3
Source: RefSeq, a predicted model, not a curated record